UACGUAGGGUGCAAGCGUUGUCCGGAAUUAUUGGGCGUAAAGAGCUCGUAGGCGGCUUGUCGCGUCGGCUGUGAAAACCUGGGGCUCAACCCCGGGCCUGCAGCCGAUACGGGCAAGCUAGAAUUCGGUAGGGGAGACUGGAAUUCCUGAUGUAGCGGUGAAAUGCGCAGAUAUCAGGAGGAACACCGGUGGCGAAGGCGGGUCUCUGGGCCGAAAUUGACGCUGAGGAGCGAAAGCGUGGGGAGCAAACAGG
RNAcentral lists this ribosomal RNA (253 nucleotides) under uncultured bacterium. RNAcentral's name for it is "partial 16S ribosomal RNA". It matches the Rfam family "Bacterial small subunit ribosomal RNA", at positions 524 to 776 of the family's 1533-position model. The record is from RNAcentral.